UUUUCAGAAUGUUUCACCACUCUUUCCAACAACUCAAGUCAACAGGGGUUGCUAAUGCAGAGCUCAAAUGCGCUCUGAGCCCAGUUUCUUCUCUUUCCGAGGUUGAGUGGCAUCAGUCCAGGCAGCCCGUUGUCUUGGAGAGUGAGCCGCGUCACACACAUUUCCAUGUUACUGUGCAGCUUGCUGGGCCUCGUAGUCAGCAGGGAGGCUUAUUAGAACCUCGGGUUUAUCGAUGGCUUUGUGUGGGGUGUGCCUUCGAAUCUGGAGGGCACCGUGAAGUCCUCUUCCAAAUACAGGGUCAGGGUAUGGAUUUCCCUCAAUGACAGAGCAAGAAUGCAAGAACGGAAUGACAGCAGAGAAAGGGACUCGGAGUCCAUCCCAGGAUGCGCAUGCAGAGUGCGCUGGCCAGCAGUUUCCUGUCAGCUGCGUCCAUCCACAGGAGAGCAGAGAGGGCCGGGAGCGCUGGCAGCUUCUGCCAAAAUCCACCAGCUUUGAGGCUGAGGUCUGCAGCUGUCUUGGUUUUCACCAUGUCCACAUGUGCUUGCUGAGAGACAAAACAGAAUACAGCAUUUAAUUUACUUUCCAGAAUUCAUAUAAAUAUGAAAGAAGAUACUGGGUCACAGCAAUGAAGAGCAGACUAAAGCAAUGCCUGUUUGAAAGCAUGGAUUGAGGAAGGCUCCAGGUCUGGCUAAAGACACAGCGACAGAGACAACUGAGAAGUCGUCAGCCCUCCUUGCGAGAUUUCCGGGCCAGGGGCACGUGGGGAACAGGGCAGAGCCCUGCUAGUGGGGCCAGCCGGCUCUUCAGAGGGGCAGUCGGAGGGGCUUGACCCGGGCCAGGUCGGACCCAUUCAUGCCAGGAGGGGAGCGAUCUGAGCCUGAGGGCCGAAGUGGAGAGUGACUUCACUUCCGGUCUCUGGGAACACUGUGUCCCGAAUUGUGUGUGGCAGGUUUGUGUGCAGCAACCCCAUUAGACAGUGCAAUGGAAGAAUGGGCCAGAUGUUAAAACACAGAGAGCCGCCAGGUCUUGUCUCUUCCUGGACACGCACGCUGGACCUGCUACUGCUCAUGCAGCGUUCCCAGAGGGCGCGAGACACCAGCCAGUCACCUGGCUUCUCCACCGAGUCCACCGAGUAAUCUGGCGACAGCGGGGUGAGGAUGUGCAAAGCUGGAUUUGAGGUGACUGCUGGAGUGGAAGUCUGGACCACGGAGUGUGCAAAGAAUGGAAACAAAGGUCCAAUGCCAAGUCCCGGGCCGCAGUAAUUAAAACCCAGGGAAAUCACAGGACACGCCUUCAAACUGCGGAACAGAUUCAUCUCAGGAAAGCUUUCAGAAUGUGUCUGUUGAACGCACAUUUUCUUUUGCAGUUUUCCCUACAGUAAACAUCACAAUAAUUGAGUGUUUGCUGCUGGGAGGCCUCUCUUUUUGUGAGCUAAUAAAAGCCUUUCAGUGUUACAUUCGAAGAGAAUAUAAGUAAAAAGCAGUCACACACGAUUAGCCCUGCCCACUGCCAAGAGGUUAAUUGCGCCAUUUCCCUUCACUUCAGAGUUGGGACAGUGGGUCUUUGCAGGAACAGAAGCCCAAAUGAGGCAAAGGCCGAGCGAUGCCAUGCAUAUAAACAGAACCUUGAGGGCUGGAGGGGGGAGGGGUGCUGGACAGAGCCUCUUGGGGUCCCUCUCCGCCCACGGUCUGCCCUCAGAGGGAGUCCAUAGCUCCUGGGUCACUUUGGGGGCGGUGGAUGUGCUUACACCCAUCACCCCUCCCACCCGUCCUGUUGGGGAACACUCCAUUCUGCGGUGACACGUGGCUGCCUGUGAUAGGAGGACUGCUCUAGUUGGCUGGCUGGGGAUCCUGGAACCAGCUUCCUCCAUCUUCUUUUCCUCUCUGGGGUGCCCUGACCAGUGUUUGCUUUCUCUGAAAAGAGAGCAGUUUCUUCUGAUGAAAUCAACAGUUUCCUCUGCACG
Fukomys damarensis (Damara mole-rat) is the source of this 1963-nucleotide long non-coding RNA. RefSeq lists it as uncharacterized. The record is from RefSeq and is a predicted model, not a curated record. Lineage: Eukaryota; Metazoa; Chordata; Mammalia; Rodentia; Bathyergidae. The transcript has 5 exons.